CCUACGGGAGGCAGCAGUGAGGAAUAUUGGUCAAUGGUCGGGAGACUGAACCAGCCAAGCCGCGUGAGGGAUGAAGGUACAGAGUAUCGUAAACCUCUUUUGUCAGGGAACAAAGGCGGGGACGUGUCCCCGGAUGCGUGUACCUGAAGAAAAAGCAUCGGCUAACUCCGUGCCAGCAGCCGCGGUAAUACGGAGGAUGCGAGCGUUAUCCGGAUUUAUUGGGUUUAAAGGGUGCGCAGGCGGACUGUUAAGUCAGCGGUCAAAGCCCGGGGCUCAACCCCGUCCCGCCGUUGAAACUGGCAGUCUCGAGUGGGAGAGAAGUAUGCGGAAUGCGCGGUGUAGCGGUGAAAUGCAUAGAUAUCGCGCAGAACUCCGAUUGCGAAGGCAGCAUGCCGGCUCCACACUGACGCUGAGGCACGAAAGCGUGGGUAUCGAACAGGAUUAGAUACCCCAGUAGUC
This 459-nucleotide ribosomal RNA is filed under the name uncultured bacterium. RNAcentral describes it as "partial 16S ribosomal RNA". It matches the Rfam family "Bacterial small subunit ribosomal RNA", at positions 338 to 795 of the family's 1533-position model. The record is from RNAcentral.